UGGCAAACAAAGGCACGUGGGUGUUUCAAAGGGGGAGCUAUGGGAGCUGCUUGGACUGACGGGGCUUGUGCUGGUGGUAGUGGGUGUUAUGGUGGCUGUAGGGCUCUGUGGUAUGGGUUAUAGUGGCCGUAGGUCUCUGCGGCAGUUGUUAUGGUGGCUAUAGGGCUCUGGCAGCGGUGGUUAUGGUGGCUAUAGGGCUCUGUGGUAGUGGUUAUGGUGGCUGUCAGGCUCUGCGGCAGUGGUUAUGGUGUCUGUAGGGCUCUGUGGUAGUGGUUAUGGUGGCCGUAGGGCUCUGGCGGUGGUUAUGGUGGCUGUAAGGCUCUGCGGCAGUGGUUAUGGUGGCUGUAGGGCUCUGUGGUAGUGGUUAUGGUGGCCGUAGGGCUCUGGCAGCCGUGGUUAUGGUGGCCGUAGGGCUCUGGCAGCGGUGGUUAUGGUGGCCGUAGGGCUCUGGCAGUGGUGGUUAUGGUGGCCGUAGGUCUCUGUGGCGGUGGUUAUGGCCGUAGGGCUCUGGCGUGGUUAUGGUGGCCGUAGGAUUUCGGCAGUGGUUAUGGUGGCUGUAGGGCUCUGUGGUAGUGGUUAUGGUGGCUAUAGGGGUCUGGCAGUGGUGGUUAUGGUGGCUGUAGGGCUCUGUGGUAGUGGUUAUGGUGGCUGUAGGGCUCUGUGGUAUGGGUUAUAGUGGCCGUAGGGCUCUGGCAGCGGUGGUUAUGGUGGCUAUAGGGCUCUGGCAGCGGUGGUUAUGGUGGCUAUAGGGCUCUGUGGUAGUGGUUAUGGUGGCUGUAAGGCUCUGCGGUAGUGGUUAUGGUGUCUGUAGGGCUCUGUGGUAGUAGUUAUGGUGGCCAUAGGGCUCUGGCGGUGGUUAUGGUGGCUGUAAGGCUCUGCGGCAGUGGUUAUGGUGGCUGUAGGGCUCUGUGGUAGUGGUUAUGGUGGCCGUAAGGCUCUGGCAGCGGUGGUCUAUGGGUGGCCGUAGGUGGCUCUGUGGCGGUGGUUAUGGUGGCUGUAGGUCUCUGUGGUAGUGGUUAUGGUGGCUGUAGGGCUCUGUGGUAGUGGUUAUGGUGGCUGUAGGGCUCUGUGGUAGUGGUUAUGGUGGCUAUGGGGCUCUGGCAGUGGUGGUUAUGGUGGCUGUAGGGCUCUGGUAAAGGUUAUGGUGGCUGUAGGGCUCUGGCAGCGGUGGUUAUGGUGGCUGUAUGGCUCUGUGGUAGUGGUUAUGGUGGCUGUAGGGCUCUCUGGCAGUGGUGGUUAUGGUGGCUGUAGGGCUCUGGCAGCGGUGGUUAUGGUGGCUGUAGGGCUCUGGCAGCGGUGGUUAUGGUGGCUGUAGGGCUCUGGCAGCGGUGGUUAUGGUGGCUGUAGGGCUCUGGCAGUGGUGGUUAUGGUGGCCGUAGGGCUCUGUGGUAGUGGUUAUGGUGGCUAUAGGGCUCUGGCAGUGGUGGUUAUGGUGGCUGUAGGGCUCUGUGGUAGUGGUUAUGGUGGCUGUAGGGCUCUGGUAAAGGUUAUGGUGGCUGUAGGGCUCUGGCAGCGGUGGUUAUGGUGGCUGUAUGGCUCUGUGGUAGUGGUUAUGGUGGCUGUAGGGCUCUGGCAGUGGUGGUUAUGGUGGCUGUAGGGCUCUGUGGUAGUGGUUAUGGUGGCUGUAGGGCUCUGGCGGUGGUGGUUAUGGUGGCUGUAGGGCUCUGGCUUUUUUUACAGUAAGAGCAAUAAGGAUGUGGAAUUCUCUGCCUGAAGAGGUGGUUUUAUCAGAGUCGAUACAGAUGUUUAAACAGCAAUUGGACAAAUCCUUCCAAAAACAUAACAUACAGGGAUAUAAUUUCUAAUUCGUGGGGUAAUAGUUGCUUGAUCCAAGGAGAUUUCUGACUUCCAUUUUGGGGUCAUGAAUGAUUUAUUUCCUAGUUUGUUGCAAAAUUGGAAGCGCUUCAGACAGUGUUUUUUGCCUUCUUUUGGAUCAACAAAAACAUAUGUGAGAGAGGCUGAACUUGAUGGAUGCAAGUCUCUUUACGGUGGCUGUAGGGCCCUCUGGCAGUGUUUAUGGUUGUUGUAGGGCUCUGGUUGUGGGAGUUAUGGUGGCUGUAGGGCUCUCUGGCAGUAGGGCUCUGUGGCGGUGGUAUUAUGGUGGCUGUAGGGCUCUGUGGCAACUGUAGUUAUGGUGACUGUAGGGCUCUGUGGUCUGGUACAGUGGCAGUGAUGGCUGUAGGGUUAUGGAGGCAGUGAUACUGCCAUUCUUCUAUAGUGUCUUGGUUUCCAGACGACCACUGCUUUAUAUUUUUUACACUCCGUUUUCAUGUUUAUUUUAUGUAUGUACCUGGAC
Pelobates cultripes (western spadefoot toad) is the source of this 2296-nucleotide non-coding RNA. Lineage: Eukaryota; Metazoa; Chordata; Amphibia; Anura; Pelobatidae. The record is from the annotation of a GenBank genome assembly.